Molecule: non-coding RNA, 116 nt
Filed under: Geobacillus thermodenitrificans
Lineage: Bacteria; Bacillati; Bacillota; Bacilli; Caryophanales; Anoxybacillaceae
Description: SAM-I sequence
Rfam family: SAM riboswitch aptamer (S box leader)
About the family: The SAM riboswitch is found upstream of a number of genes which code for proteins involved in methionine or cysteine biosynthesis in Gram-positive bacteria. The SAM riboswitch acts at the level of transcription termination control.
Source: RNAcentral
CUCUUAUCCCGAGCCGGUGGAGGGACAGGCCCGAUGAAACCCAGCAACCGUCACAAUUUUACAAUAUGUGAAAAGGUGCUAACCUGUGGCAAGGCGUGGUCCUUGAACGAUAAGAG